UCCUGCUUCCAAACACCUGUAUUUCGCCUUAGCCCUGUAUUUUUGCGUUUUUGAGCUGUAUAUCAUUGUAUAAUGAGUGUAUACUGCCGCAUACAAUAUGUAUACAACCCAUUUCUUGGGCUUUGAACAUUUAUGAACUAAUUUCCAGCCCUGUGACUCGGUUUUAUUUGCCCGGCUGACUUGAACAAUGAAGAAAAGGAAUAAAUUGAGCCUUUAUGGCUCGACUAGAGAGUGCUUAGGAGGAGAAGUCCACCAUGGACUCGGAAGGGGUUCAUACAACAAACAAAAGAAGAAAAAGUUAGCAUGUGAACAAAGGAAAUAGUUAAGUGAUUUAAAUUUUUAAUAAGGCAAAUUAGGUACUUCAAAAUGAAGAGGC
Molecule: long non-coding RNA, 376 nt
Filed under: Solanum tuberosum (potato)
Lineage: Eukaryota; Viridiplantae; Streptophyta; Magnoliopsida; Solanales; Solanaceae
Description: long non-coding RNA (STUB_LNC000421)
Source: RNAcentral